RNAcentral lists this ribosomal RNA (706 nucleotides) under uncultured bacterium. RNAcentral's name for it is "bacterial SSU rRNA". It matches the Rfam family "Bacterial small subunit ribosomal RNA", at positions 56 to 755 of the family's 1533-position model. The record is from RNAcentral.
UGCAAGUCGAACGGCAGCACGGGUGCUUGCACCUGGUGGCGAGUGGCGAACGGGUGAGUAAUGCAUCGGAACGUACCCUGGAGUGGGGGAUAACUAUCCGAAAGGAUAGCUAAUACCGCAUAUUCUAUGGGUAGGAAAGCGGGGGAUCUUCGGACCUCGCGCUCUGGGAGCGGCCGAUGUCAGAUUAGCUAGUUGGUGGGGUAAAGGCCUACCAAGGCUAUGAUCUGUAGCGGGUCUGAGAGGAUGAUCCGCCACACUGGGACUGAGACACGGCCCAGACUCCUACGGGAGGCAGCAGUGGGGAAUUUUGGACAAUGGGGGCAACCCUGAUCCAGCCAUGCCGCGUGAGUGAAGAAGGCCUUCGGGUUGUAAAGCUCUUUCGGCCGGGAAGAAAUCGCCAUCUCUAAUAUAGGUGGUGGAUGACGGUACCGGAAUAAGAAGCACCGGCUAACUACGUGCCAGCAGCCGCGGUAAUACGUAGGGUGCGAGCGUUAAUCGGAAUUACUGGGCGUAAAGCGUGCGCAGGCGGUUUUUUAAGAUAGGCGUGAAAUCCCCGGGCUUAACCUGGGAACUGCGCUUAUGACUGGAAGACUAGAGUACGGCAGAGGGGGGUGGAAUUCCACGUGUAGCAGUGAAAUGCGUAGAGAUGUGGAGGAACACCGAUGGCGAAGGCAGCCCCCUGGGCCGAUACUGACGCUCAUGCACG